CUAAAGUUGUGUCCUUACAGAUAAGGUC
RNAcentral lists this small RNA (28 nucleotides) under Bombyx mori (domestic silkworm). RNAcentral's name for it is "ovarian small RNA-14599". Lineage: Eukaryota; Metazoa; Arthropoda; Insecta; Lepidoptera; Bombycidae. The record is from RNAcentral.